UUGAGAAAGACAUAGAGGUUAUGAUAUUGGCUUGAAACCAGUUGUAGGGGGUUCGAUUCCUUCCUUUCUUAUUUAG
This 76-nucleotide transfer RNA is filed under the name Vormela peregusna (marbled polecat). RNAcentral's name for it is "tRNA-Ser". It matches the Rfam family "tRNA". From Rfam's summary of the family: Transfer RNA (tRNA) molecules are approximately 80 nucleotides in length. Their secondary structure includes four short double-helical elements and three loops (D, anti-codon, and T loops). Lineage: Eukaryota; Metazoa; Chordata; Mammalia; Carnivora; Mustelidae. The record is from RNAcentral.